UGCGACCAGACUUGCCUUCAGUUGAUCAAUCGGUGUUCUUCACCGGUGCACUCGGCUGAGGUCAGGCCAGCAUCGGUCUAGGCGGUUGGAGAAAGGCUUUGGGAAUGUGGCUCCCUUCGGGGAGUGUUAUAGCCCAUGGUGUCAUGCAACCAGCUUGGACCGAGGACCGCGCCUCGUGCUAGGAUGCUGGCGUAAUGGUCGUAAGCGACCCGUCUUGAAACACGGACCAAGGAGUCUAACAUCUAUGCGAGUGUUUGGGUGUAAAACCCAUGCGCGUAAUGAAAGUGAACGGAGGUGGGAACCCUUGAGGGUGCACCAUCGACCGAUCCUGAUGUCUUCGGAUGGAUUUGAGUAAGAGCAUAGCUGUUGGGACCCGAAAGAUGGUGAACUAUGCCUGAAUAGGGUGAAGCCAGAGGAAACUCUGGUGGAGGCUCGCAGCGGUUCUGACGUGCAAAUCGAUCGUCAAAUUUGGGUAUAGGGGCGAAAGACUAAUCGAACCAUCUAGUAGCUGGUUCCUGCCGAAGUUUCCCUCAGGAUAGCAGACACUCAUAGCUCAGAUUUAUGUGGUAAAGCGAAUGAUUAGAGGCCUUGGGGUUGAAACAACCUUAACCUAUUCUCAAACUUUAAAUAUGUAAGAUGAAACCGUUUCUUAAUUGAACCGUUUCGCGAUUGAAGAGUGUCUAGUGGGCCAUUUUUGGUAAGCAGAACUGGCGAUGCGGGAUGAACCGAACGUGAGGUUAAGGUGCCGGAAUCUACGCUCAUCAGACACCACAAAAGGUGUUGGUUCAUCUAG
Molecule: ribosomal RNA, 793 nt
Filed under: uncultured Ascomycota
Lineage: Eukaryota; Fungi; Ascomycota
Description: LSU rRNA
Rfam family: Eukaryotic large subunit ribosomal RNA
Source: RNAcentral